AAGGCACGCGCGGGAGAGCAGGGGUGGUCAAACACCUCCGCCGAAGGAGCAACCGCCCCGGAAUCUCUCAGGCACCCAGGACCGCGCGGGGCCA
This 94-nucleotide non-coding RNA is filed under the name Sphingomonas koreensis. Its description in RNAcentral is "Glycine sequence". It matches the Rfam family "Glycine riboswitch aptamer". Rfam says of the family: This family represents the bacterial glycine riboswitch. Glycine riboswitches usually consist of two metabolite-binding aptamers domains with similar structures in tandem. Lineage: Bacteria; Pseudomonadati; Pseudomonadota; Alphaproteobacteria; Sphingomonadales; Sphingomonadaceae. The record is from Rfam by way of RNAcentral.